RNAcentral lists this ribosomal RNA (650 nucleotides) under Levilactobacillus brevis. RNAcentral's name for it is "bacterial SSU rRNA". It matches the Rfam family "Bacterial small subunit ribosomal RNA", at positions 797 to 1447 of the family's 1533-position model. The record is from RNAcentral. Lineage: Bacteria; Bacillati; Bacillota; Bacilli; Lactobacillales; Lactobacillaceae.
UGGCCUGAUGAGUGCUAGUGUUGGAGGGGUUUCCGCCCUUUCAGUGCUGCAGCUUAACGCAUUAAGCACUUCCGCCUGGGGAAGUACGACCGCAAGGUUGAAACUCAAAGGAAUUUGACGGGGGCCCGCACAAGCGGUGGAGCAUGUGGUUUAAUUCGAAGCUACGCGAAGAACCUUACCAGGUCUUGACAUCUUCUGCCAAUCUUAGAGAUAAGACGUUCCCUUCGGGGACAGAAUGACAGGUGGUGCAUGGUUGUCGUCAGCUCGUGUCGUGAGAUGUUGGGUUAAGUCCCGCAACGAGCGCAACCCUUAUUAUCAGUUGCCAGCAUUCAGUUGGGCACUCUGGUGAGACUGCCGGUGACAAACCGGAGGAAGGUGGGGAUGACGUCAAAUCAUCAUGCCCCUUAUGACCUGGGCUACACACGUGCUACAAUGGACGGUACAACGAGUCGCGAAGUCGUGAGGCUAAGCUAAUCUCUUAAAGCCGUUCUCAGUUCGGAUUGUAGGCUGCAACUCGCCUACAUGAAGUUGGAAUCGCUAGUAAUCGCGGAUCAGCAUGCCGCGGUGAAUACGUUCCCGGGCCUUGUACACACCGCCCGUCACACCAUGAGAGUUUGUAACACCCAAAGCCGGUGAGAUAACCUUCGGGA